AUCCUUCUUCUUCACUAAUAAUACCGGAGCACCCCACGGUGAAACGCUGGGUCGUAUGAAGCCCUUAUCUAAUAAUUCUUAUAGUUGCUUCUUUAAUUCCUCUAGCUCGAGUGGUGCCAUUCUGUAGGGAGGCUUAGAUAUUGGGGUUGUACUGGGGACCAGAUCAAUAACAAAUUCACCCUCUCUAUCUAGAGGUAAACCAGGCAAGUCAUCUGGGAAUACAUCAGGGAACUCUUUGACCACUGAAAUUUCAUCUAGAUGGGUUUCCUGAUUUGAAUGCUCCUUUACACACACCAUAUAACAAAGACAACCCUUCUGCAUAAAACGAUAAGCUUGAAGUGCUGAUAUCAAGUAAGGAGGCAAAUCAUGCCUUGUUGAAUCUCGUAUUUUGAUGAUGAAACUACUUGAUAUAUGUUUAUGAUUUAAUCUGCGUUUUGAGUGACGCAGGAUGCUUUGAUCAAGAUGAGACAAUUAAAGCAGGAAAAUCAUGUUGUGCCGGAGGAACAUGUCAGAAGAUUGGACGUCGGGCCGGUAGAUCGGUCGACGUAUCGACAGAAGGCUUCGGGCAGUGGACUCGGGCAUCGGGCCAAGAAGAGCGGUUAUUGUGCCAAGGAUAUCGGAGUUGCG
RNAcentral lists this long non-coding RNA (627 nucleotides) under Musa acuminata (dwarf banana). Its description in RNAcentral is "long non-coding RNA (MACU_LNC009191)". The record is from RNAcentral. Lineage: Eukaryota; Viridiplantae; Streptophyta; Magnoliopsida; Zingiberales; Musaceae.